RNAcentral lists this ribosomal RNA (253 nucleotides) under uncultured bacterium. RNAcentral's name for it is "partial 16S ribosomal RNA". It matches the Rfam family "Bacterial small subunit ribosomal RNA", at positions 524 to 776 of the family's 1533-position model. The record is from RNAcentral.
UACGUAGGUGUCGAGCGUUGGCCGGAUUUAUUGGGCGUCAAGCGCCCUCAGGCGGCCAGGCAAGUCCAGGGUGAAAUCUCCCGGCUCAACCGGGAGGGUGCCCUGGAAACUGCUUGGCUUGAGGCAGGGAGAGGGAUGUGGAAUUCCCGGUGUAGUGGUGAAAUGCGUAGAUAUCGGGAGGAACACCAGUGGCGAAGGCGGCAUCCUGGCCCUGUCAUGACCAGCAGGGGCGAAAGCGUGGGGAGCAAACCGG